UUGGUUAAGUUAGAAAGGGCGCACGGUGGAUGCCUUGGCACUAGGAGCCGAAGAAGGACGGGACUAACACCGAUAUGCUUUGGGGAGCUGUACGUAAGCGUUGAUCCAGAGAUUUCCGAAUGGGGGAACCCACUAUCUUUAGUCGGAUAGUAUCCUUACGUGAAUACAUAGCGUGAGGAAGGCAGACCCAGGGAACUGAAACAUCUAAGUACCUGGAGGAAGAGAAAGAAAAAUCGAUUUCCUGAGUAGCGGCGAGCGAAACGGAAAGAGCCCAAACCAAGAAGCUUGCUUCUUGGGGUUGUAGGACACUCUAUACGGAGUUACAAAAGAAAGUUAUAAAUGAAGCGGUCUGGAAAGGCCCGCCAAAGACGGUAACAGCCCGGUAGUUGAAAUAGCUUUCCCUCCAGAGUGGAUCCUGAGUACGGCGGAACACGUGAAAUUCCGUCGGAAUCCGGGAGGACCAUCUCCCAAGGCUAAAUACUCCCUAGUGACCGAUAGUGAACCAGUACCGUGAGGGAAAGGUGAAAAGCACCCCGGAAGGGGAGUGAAACAGUUCCUGAAACCGUGUGCCUACAAGUAGUUAGAGCCCGUUAAUGGGUGAUAGCGUGCCUUUUGUAGAAUGAACCGGCGAGUUACGAUUUGUUGCAAGGUUAAGCGGAAAAAGCGGAGCCGUAGCGAAAGCGAGUCUGAAUAGGGCGAAUAAGUAACAGGUCGUAGACCCGAAACCAGGUGAUCUACCCAUGUCCAGGAUGAAGGUAAGGUAAUACUUACUGGAGGUCCGAACCCACGCACGUUGAAAAGUGCGGGGAUGAGGUGUGGGUAGCGGAGAAAUUCCAAUCGAACUUGGAGAUAGCUGGUUCUCUCCGAAAUAGCUUUAGGGCUAGCCUCGAGGUAAAGAGUCAUGGAGGUAGAGCACUGUUUGGACUAGGGGCCCUUCUCGGGUUACCGAAUUCAGAUAAACUCCGAAUGCCAUGUACUUAUACUCGGGAGUCAGACUGCGAGUGAUAAGAUCCGUAGUCGAAAGGGAAACAGCCCAGACCACCAGUUAAGGUCCCCAAAUAUAUGUUAAGUGGAAAAGGAUGUGGGGUUGCUUAGACAACCAGGAUGUUGGCUUAGAAGCAGCCACCAUUGAAAGAGUGCGUAAUAGCUCACUGGUCGAGUGACCCCGCGCCGAAAAUGUACCGGGGCUAAACAUAUUACCGAAACUGUGGAUGAACCUCUUUAGAGGUUCGUGGUAGGAGAGCGUUCUAAGGGCGGUGAAGUCAGACCG
Molecule: ribosomal RNA, 1270 nt
Filed under: Listeria seeligeri
Lineage: Bacteria; Bacillati; Bacillota; Bacilli; Caryophanales; Listeriaceae
Description: partial 23S ribosomal RNA
Rfam family: Bacterial large subunit ribosomal RNA
Source: RNAcentral